Molecule: ribosomal RNA, 478 nt
Filed under: uncultured Ottowia sp.
Lineage: Bacteria; Pseudomonadati; Pseudomonadota; Betaproteobacteria; Burkholderiales; Comamonadaceae
Description: bacterial SSU rRNA
Rfam family: Bacterial small subunit ribosomal RNA
Source: RNAcentral
CUUAAAUGAAUUGACGGGACCCGCACAAGCGGUGGAUGAUGUGGAUUAAUUCGAUGCAACGCGAAGAACCUUACCUACCCUUGACAUGUCCGGAACUUGCCAGAGAUGGCUUGGUGCCCGAAAGGGAAUCGGAACACAGGUGCUGCAUGGCUGUCGUCAGCUCGUGUCGUGAGAUGUUGGGUUAAGUCCCCGCAACGAGCGCAACCCUUGCCAUUAGUUGCUACGAAAGGGCACUCUAAUGGGACUGCCGGUGACAAACCGGAGGAAGGUGGGGAUGACGUCAAGUCCUCAUGGCCCUUAUAGGUGGGGCUACACACGUCAUACAAUGGCCGGUACAGAGGGUAGCCAACCCGCGAGGGGGAGCCAAUCCCACAAAGCCGGUCGUAGUCCGGAUCGCAGUCUGCAACUCGACUGCGUGAAGUCGGAAUCGCUAGUAAUCGCGGAUCAGCAUGUCGCGGUGAAUACGUUCCCGGGUCUU